GAGAGCCGUAUACCUGGGAACGGGUACGUACGGUUCGGAGGCGAACACAGGGAAACCUACUAUAGCAAUAUAGCAAGGCGCCCGGUGUUUAGCCUAC
This 97-nucleotide non-coding RNA is filed under the name Chitinophaga sp. S165. Lineage: Bacteria; Pseudomonadati; Bacteroidota; Chitinophagia; Chitinophagales; Chitinophagaceae. The record is from RNAcentral.